Capsicum annuum is the source of this 103-nucleotide small nucleolar RNA. The record is from RefSeq and is a predicted model, not a curated record. Lineage: Eukaryota; Viridiplantae; Streptophyta; Magnoliopsida; Solanales; Solanaceae.
UAAUGAUGGUGAGGGCAAUUUCUGAGCAUACCCUUAAACUUUAACACGCUUGAUAAAGAUUUUCUUCUUCUUUCUGCUUAAAACUAAUCUCGCUACUCACAUG